This 244-nucleotide ribosomal RNA is filed under the name Hygrophoraceae sp. RNAcentral describes it as "partial large subunit ribosomal RNA". The record is from RNAcentral. Lineage: Eukaryota; Fungi; Basidiomycota; Agaricomycetes; Agaricales; Hygrophoraceae.
UUUCAAGUCAGUCACAUCGGCCAGUAAUCAACCUUGCAAUCUUGCGAGGCUUAUUUUCUGGUUGAUGGGUCAGCAUCAAUUUUGACUGUUAGAGAAAGGCUUGAGGAAUGUGGCAUCUUCGGAUGUGUUAUAGCCUCUGGUCACACAUAAUGGUUGGGAUUGAGGAACUCAGCAUGCCCUUCAGUGGGUUGGAGCUUUUGCUCACGUAACAUGCUUAGGAUGCUGGCAUAAUGGCUUGAACCGA